CGCCUGUUAGUUCAACGGAUAGAACGGAAGUUUCCUAAACUUCAGAUCCGGGUUCGAUUCCCGGACCGGUGA
This 72-nucleotide transfer RNA is filed under the name Caudoviricetes sp. Its description in RNAcentral is "tRNA-Arg". It matches the Rfam family "tRNA". Rfam says of the family: Transfer RNA (tRNA) molecules are approximately 80 nucleotides in length. Their secondary structure includes four short double-helical elements and three loops (D, anti-codon, and T loops). The record is from RNAcentral. Lineage: Duplodnaviria; Heunggongvirae; Uroviricota; Caudoviricetes.